RNAcentral lists this ribosomal RNA (839 nucleotides) under Ramularia endophylla. Its description in RNAcentral is "eukaryotic LSU rRNA". It matches the Rfam family "Eukaryotic large subunit ribosomal RNA", at positions 54 to 925 of the family's 3401-position model. Lineage: Eukaryota; Fungi; Ascomycota; Dothideomycetes; Mycosphaerellales; Mycosphaerellaceae. The record is from RNAcentral.
AGGAAAAGAAACCAACAGGGAUUGCCCUAGUAACGGCGAGUGAAGCGGCAACAGCUCAAAUUUGAAAUCUGGCGCAAGCCCGAGUUGUAAUUUGUAGAGGAUGCUUCUAGGUAGCGACCGGUCUAAGUUCCUUGGAACAGGACGUCAUAGAGGGUGAGAAUCCCGUAUGUGACUGGCCCGCACCUUCUACGUAGCUCCUUCGACGAGUCGAGUUGUUUGGGAAUGCAGCUCUAAAUGGGAGGUAAAUUUCUUCUAAAGCUAAAUACCGGCCAGAGACCGAUAGCGCACAAGUAGAGUGAUCGAAAGAUGAAAAGCACUUUGGAAAGAGAGUUAAAAAGCACGUGAAAUUGUUGAAAGGGAAGCGCUCACAACCAGACUUCUAGGCAGUGUUCCGCCGGUCUUUUGACCGGUCUACUCUCUGUCUCGAGGCCAACAUCAUCUGGGACCGCCGGAUAAGACCUUAGGAAUGUAGCUCCCCUCGGGGAGUGUUAUAGCCUCUGGUGAUGCGGCGCGUCUCGGGUGAGGUCCGCGCUUCGGCAAGGAUGUUGGCGUAAUGGUUGUCAGCGGCCCGUCUUGAAACACGGACCAAGGAGUCUAACAUCUAUGCGAGUGUUCGGGUGUCAAACCCCUACGCGUAAUGAAAGUGAACGGAGGUGGGAAGCGUAAGCUGCACCAUCGACCGAUCCUGAUGUCCUCGGAUGGAUUUGAGUAAGAGCAUAGCUGUUGGGACCCGAAAGAUGGUGAACUAUGCCUGAAUAGGGUGAAGCCAGAGGAAACUCUGGUGGAGGCUCGCAGCGGUUCUGACGUGCAAAUCGAUCGUCAAAUUUGGGUAUAGGGCG